This 497-nucleotide ribosomal RNA is filed under the name uncultured bacterium. Its description in RNAcentral is "partial 16S ribosomal RNA". It matches the Rfam family "Bacterial small subunit ribosomal RNA", at positions 28 to 507 of the family's 1533-position model. The record is from RNAcentral.
GAUGAACGCUGGCGGCGUGCCUAAUACAUGCAAGUCGAGCGGACGGACGAGACGCUCGCCUCGCUGAAGUUACGGGCGGGCGGGUGAGUAAUACGAGGAUAACUUGCCUAUAAGGCUGAGGUAACUUCAGGAAACCGGAGCUAACACCGGAUAAGAUGGUGAACGGCAGGGAUCAUAAGAGAAAGCGGGUCUUGCUGACACUUAUAGGUGGAACCGAGCUGCAUUAGCUAGUUGGUAAGGUAACGGCUUACCAAGGCAACGAUGCGUAGCCGACCUGAGAGGAUGAUCGGCCACACUGGAACUGAGACACGGUCCAGACUCCUACGGGAGGCAGCAGUAGGGAAUAUUGCGCAAUGGGCGAAAGCCUGACGCAGCAACGCCGCGUGUGUGAUGAAGGUCUUCGGAUCGUAAAGCUCUUUUAUUUGGGAAGAACAUAUGUGUGUGUAUCUCUUCCCAUCUUGACGUUACCUACUCAGAAAGCACCGGCUAACUUCGUG